UGGUUCUGGCAUCGAUGAAGAACGCAGCGAAAUGCGAUAAGUAAUGUGAAUUGCAGAAUUCAGUGAAUCAUCGAAUCUUUGAACGCACAUUGCGCCCCUUGGUAUUCCGGGGGGCAUGCCUGUUCGAGCGUCAUUACAACCCUCAAGCUCUGCUUGGAAUUGGGCACCGUCCUCACUGCGGACGCGCCUCAAAGACCUCGGCGGUGGCUGUUCAGCCCUCAAGCGUAGUAGAAUACACCUCGCUUUGGAGCGGUUGGCGUCGCCCGCCGGACGAACCUUCUGAACUUUUCUCAAGGUUGACCUCGGAUCAGGUAGGGAUACCCGCUGA
Molecule: unclassified non-coding RNA, 328 nt
Filed under: uncultured fungus
Lineage: Eukaryota; Fungi
Description: partial contains 5.8S ribosomal RNA and internal transcribed spacer 2
Rfam family: 5.8S ribosomal RNA (bases 1-133)
Source: RNAcentral